This 437-nucleotide ribosomal RNA is filed under the name uncultured Alphaproteobacteria bacterium. Its description in RNAcentral is "bacterial SSU rRNA". It matches the Rfam family "Bacterial small subunit ribosomal RNA", at positions 32 to 502 of the family's 1533-position model. Lineage: Bacteria; Pseudomonadati; Pseudomonadota; Alphaproteobacteria. The record is from RNAcentral.
AACGCUGGCGGCAUGCCUAACACAUGCAAGUCGAACGAGAAACUAGACUUCGGUUUAGUGGACAGUGGCGAACGGGUGCGUAACGCGUGGGAAAUUACCGUAAAGUCUGGGGCAACAGUUGGAAACGACUGCUAAUACCGGAUAAUUCCUAAGGGAUAAAGCUUAAUGUGCUUUGCGAUAUGCCCGCGUUAGAUUAGCUAGUUGGUAAGGUAAGAGCUUACCAAGGCGACGAUCUAUAGCUGGUUUGAGAGGAUGAUCAGCCACACUGGGACUGAGACACGGCCCAGACUCCUGCGGGAGGCAGCAGUGGGGAAUAUUGGACAAUGGGGGCAACCCUGAUCCAGCAAUGCCGCGUGUGUGAAGAAGGCCUUAGGGUUGUAAAACACUUUCAACUGAGAAGAUGAUGACGGUAUCAGUAGAAGAAGCUCCGGCUAACU